Long non-coding RNA from Haplochromis burtoni (Burton's mouthbrooder), 9273 nucleotides. RefSeq lists it as uncharacterized. The transcript is spliced from 3 exons. NCBI's taxonomy places the organism in Eukaryota, Metazoa, Chordata, Actinopteri, Cichliformes, Cichlidae. The record is from RefSeq and is a predicted model, not a curated record.
GCUACAUUGUAGCCACAGCCACCCUGGGGCGCACUGACAGAGGCGAGUUGAUGGUUAAUAAUAGGUCAACUUUAGUGUUUUUAUGCGUAAAAUGUACGACUAAAGAUUUAAGUGACUAAUAAAAUAGCAAAAACAACCCCCAAGCAGAUUUCAUAUGGAUGCAUGUCAUAUACAAAGAACAGUGUAUUUAGUUCCAUGCAUGCAUAAGCUAUACAUGAACAAUACUACCAUGAAUUUCUAUCCACACACGGUAGGUAAAACUACCAUGAUUUAUUUGGGUUGGAGGUGAGUCUGUUGACUUAUAUGUAGUGUCUGAGACCAUUUUGUCUCACAGAUUGUCUGGAGGAAUGGCUGCAGUGAUUCAGAAAAAAAAAUUCACAGCACUGACUUUUUAGGGACCAUGUGCUGUGGUUGAUGAGCGAUAGCGCUUUACUAUUUUACUCAAGGCUUACUUUUUGUUCUUUUUAUUCUCCAGUCUAUCUCACUGCUCUCCCAACACCACGCACAAAUGCAAAAUGCAUCAAAAACCAUUUGGUGUAAGGUGGGUAAGUAAACUCCGUCACAAUUAGGCAGCGUAUGACAUCAACGGUAAAUAAUAACAUACGCUGCAAAACACUGACUUAUACAAAUGCGAAGCGGAGUAUAGUGGCCAUAAAAAUUGAUUGCACAAAAGAACAACAGUGUAAUCAGACCGUGAGAGGAAAGCUAUUAUAUCUAUGUAGCAAAUAUAAUUCCUCAAGAGGAAAAUUGAAUUCUUUGAACACAGAAGACAGAAGAAAAUUAGUUUUCACCACAGUGGCCAUGUCGUACAGUAGAAAUAAACAUUUCCCAGCAAAGCUAUAGGGACAAUUUGUUCCAACACAAUACGUUAGAGGUUUUUGAGUACAAUGAGGAACAAAACAUACAAACACAACUUUUUAAUUAUGUUUCACCCUAAAAAAUGUAGAACAGAUCCUAAGACCACUGAAAAAUGAUGCCUGCAGAUAUACAUAAAAGAAAGUGUGCAUAAAUAGACUGGAGGAGCACCCAACCUACCUCUCUUGAUCAAAAUGUUACCAAAACACAAAAUAAUGAGCACAUGAAAAUAAUGUUAACAGUCAUCUGGAGCCUACAGCCAAAUUAAAUCCUCAGCCAGCACAACAGACGCUCUUCCUUAAUGUUAUGGACGUGCAGUGUGGACAAUGUUUGAUUUUGUUGCAGCAGGUUAUCACUAUAAUUAGCUCUAAGAGAUGAAUCAUUUUUUCCCCACACGCACUAACAGGUAACAAAAACACGCACUGAGUGAGAAAGAACUCGCCUGCAAAUGAUAUUAAAUAUAAAACAAGCAAAAAUGUCCAUCUCAACGAGCCGUUUAAUCUUGUAUUCAGAUCUGAGGCUGUGCCAGCAGGAUGAUGUAACUAUUUGUUGUAUAAGUCCGUGUUUCCAAGGCAACUUUAAUUUAGCAGAUUUUCCCUGGAAGUGAUCUGCCUUAUUUGCAAGAACGCUUCUCAAAAAGAAGUGACACUGCAUUGCAAACAUGCUAAUUAGCUCUCGUCCUUUUACGGUUCCACUGCAGUGAAAAAGAAGAAGGGAAGGAAGCAGAUAAAACUGUGCGGCAGAAGUGCAGGUGACACAUCAAUCAAACCCUGCCAUCAACGCUCUUUGACAAAUUAAGAUGGACUCGAAAAACGCAGCCGCGUCAUCAUCGUCACCAUCACCGCGCUGAUUUCGUUCCACAAAUGGAGCAUAAAUGCAGCGACUCUUAAAAUUUGCAAUCUCAGACAGCUCCUCCAGCUCUUCCAGGGGAUGCUGAAGUGUCCCCAAGCCAGUUGAAAGACAUCUCUUCAGCAUGUCACAGCCAGAUGAAUCCCUGGAGGUCGUUCCCCUGAUCAGCCUUGGGCUGGGCCUUCAGCUGCACACCUGUUUCCUUGCUUCUUGUCAAGUGCUGUGUGAAUUUAUGGACUGAUUAUUCCACUCAUUCACUGCCAGAUGAUAGAGCUACGUUGUUGUCAGGCUUGGAUUUAGGAAAUGAACUAUUACUUUGUGCUUGAUAGGGUACUUGCCUUGAUUUCUCAUCUCUUCUAUUGCUUUGGACCUGCCCACCUGGACAGGACUUGUGCUUUGAAUUUUGGAUUCUGUUUUUGGAUUUCCUUCUAAAGGACAGAGACUGAUUCCCACAGAUACUUACCUGCCUGCUCACUCUCCACUGCACACCCACACACUCUCACAUACAUUCUGAGUAGUAUCACCAAGAAAAGUUUAUUUUUUUUAAUCUCAACUUGUUUGCAAUAAACAUCCUUAACCUUUGCUCGCCUCUCGGUCCGGUUUGAGUCCAUUAAACUCAGUAAAUCAUGACAGUCUGCCCCAAGGUCUCCUCCCAGUAGAUUUCUUUUAUUCUGACUUCAAAAUGUACCAUCUCUUUAUACCACAGUUGAAAUUUCACUUACCGGUAGUUCCUGGUCUAGUGUUUAGAUUAUUAAAAUACAAUCAAAGUAAGCACAAGUAAGCAAUUACAUAUUACUGUAGAUCAUCAAAAGACUUGGCCUAUUCAAUGGUUUUCAUAACAGUGGUUGUUUCUCAGUAUUUUUCCCACAGUUUCUUAAGGAAAUGAGCAGAAUCGGAACUGGUCUCAGAAGGCUAUAGCAGAGGGCAGGGAUGUAUGUCUUAAGCCUAAUAGUAAGAGAUGUUACAGCUGAAAAAUACAAUAUACACAGAAAAUAUUGCUGGCUAGUAAUCAUUGUUAUUUAUUACUCAACAUCUGAAAAUAAGAAACCUCACUGUAAUUUACAAAAUGAUAAAACUAGCAGACAGUGCUGUUUGCAUUUUUCACGUAUCUGGCGAUCAAUCUUAUGUAAUGUGCUUUCUUAUUUUUUGUAUUAGAUUUAAAGGCUAGUGGUUCUGAGAACUAUUCAUUUUAUUAGUAUCUGUGUUACUGAUGACCAUCUCUGGAACAAAGUAGAUGCGUGUGGAAUAGAUGAAGAACAGUGCCGCGCUGAUUUAUUCAAGGUGAACCAGUUUUCCUUGGGAUGCACACCAAUGUGUUGCCUGUGUCAAAUAUGGCUGACAGCUGGGUACAUCACAGUUAUUCAUAGCACGUGUGAGCGUGUGUGUAUAUGUAUGCAAGAUUGAUAACUCAUCACAUUUCCUGUCAUAGUCUAAAUGUCACCUCUGCAGCUUGCAGUGAUGAAUGCAAUCCUGUGGCUGGUUCAUCAUUUGCUGUGUUCAUUUCCAUGUAAAUGUUUGUCAUAGUAUUCACACACAUACACAGAAGGAACAGUUUAAAGAUCGAGAGGUUGAGAAUCAUCAUACAACACUGGUCACUGACAUGGCUGUUCAGAACAACAACAUUUUGGAUACAUGCACAGUGAUGUCAAAAUGAAAGGUUUUUAGAGGACUUUAUGCGGUCCCGGGAAAAAGUAAUUACACCACACGACUCGGUAGCUUGUAGAAUCACCUUUAACAGAAAUAACUAAAAGUAAUCAUUUUCUGGAUGACUUUGUCAGUCUUUCAAAUAUAAUAUGGCAUGCUCUCCUUUACGGUGGGGCUACAGUUCAUUGAGGUUUGCUGGUUUUCCCGCCACAGCAUUUCAGCAGGGUUGAGGUCUGGACUUUGGGCCAUUGCAAUUCCUUAAAUCUUUUUCUUUUUUGUGCUUUAAAUAUGCUUAGGGUUAUUGUCUUCUUGUAGUUUGAAUCGAGCUUUAGCUGAGGUUUUCUGUUUUGUUUAGAUUAUGCUAAGUAAACCUAACCCAUGCUGUCAUGUUCUUUUUCAAAAUGAACAGAUUUGUGGCGACUAGACAUAGUAAAGAGACCUCUGGUAAAUGUUUAAUGUCUUUACUGUAGCCUGUCUUGUAGCUGAUAACUACUUUUCUCUUCUGAUCCAAAUUGGCAGAGUAAAGUGAUGCACAUUCCUUUAUCGAGGAGGCAAACACAGUGUAGCUACUUCUAUCGGUGUGCUCUCACAGAGGACAUAGAAUACAUACUGCUAACUACUGCUAGCAGAGCAGAGGGGGCAGUUCCAGCAUUGGGCAUGCAUCACACAUAUACAUUAUCCAUCAAGCUACCUUCCUAAAGAAUAAGACUGCCUUUAACUAUAGGCGUUUUCCUGGCAACCCUUCCACACAAGUCACACUUAUUCAGUCUUUUUCUAACUGUGUGUGUAAUUUAACUGAGACCUGUAUUGUCUGAGGUGUAUCACAUUUUAUCUAUUUAUUUUACAUGACUAAGUUACUAAAUCAAUAGUUCAGUAUUUUGUACAGUACAAUUAUUUGCCUUCUUGCCAAGGUCUGAAUGAAAAGACCAAAAUCAUGCUCAAUAUGUACAAAUAUGGAACUUGAACUGGCAAACAGCUCAGCUCACACUGCAACCAGAUAACUCCCUGGAGUAUCCAUCUUUUGGCUGGCGAACUUGUGAUACCCUGAAGAUAACUGCAGCUGGCCGAAAAUAUUUUCACUGCACAACAUCAUCAACUACAUUAGGACCAAAAUAGUCAUAAAAAGAUGGUUAUCUAUAGUUCUUUGCCUUCUUCUUAACAGUACAUACACCACCAAAUAGUGGGAAGUGCAGCAGCAAGAAACCAGAGCAGGCAUCAAUUACAACACAAGUGACAUGGAUAAGUCAAUAAAUGCAUAAAAGAAAUACCAGCAUCAUCCCAAGGCUUGUAUAUGUACAGUGGACAGAUCCACUUUGUUAGCAGCUUGUUCGGGUGAGGGUUGUAGGUGUCUGGAACCUAUCCAGCUGUAAUAGGGCAGAAGGCGGGUUACACCCUGGACAGCUCACCUGUCAUUCUCAUUUACUAAUUAGUUGUGUAGAAGUACUUUAACUAUGCUGACCGCUACUGUGGGCAGAGUUAGCUAAUGUUCCAUGCAGUUAAGCUUGACUUUGUUAUCUUUGUGAACUGGUGCUAUGUUAUAUUUUGAAAGACCUUUAGAAUUGCUAGCAGAUGAUUUUUGCAUUAAUAUCUCAAUAACUUCUCAAUAACGUCAGGCUUGCUGUUUGCCCACCUUUAUCUUCAGACCUUUAUCUUCAGACUUCUUGUAGUCUGAAGAUUAGACUACAAGAUUGUAUUUCUGCUCUAGGAAUAGCUUUGCUGAUUUGCUGACUUUAAAUUACCAACUGCAUCUGUUUGAACCCUUUGACUUCUUACCCUUGUCUAACAUUGGACUCUCUUUCUUUUUGCUUGGUGCACUUUGCAACAUUGCCUCGAUUCCAUUUAAGCUGCCUGGGGAAAGCUACUGAUGCCUGCUGGGGGGAAAAAUGCUAUCUUCUUCCUUUUGUGUUUCAAGCCUUCAUUCUUUUGUAGCCUGUAGCAGUCAGAAUUGUGCUGUGAAAGUGAUGCUUUAAGGAAACCCAUCAAAAAGCAGCAAUGGUGUCGUUAUUUUCCAGCCAUUUAAUUGUGCAAACAUUUACUCCAUAAUGAAUCCUUAAGGCGAAAAACUUAGUCUACUUUAAUAAACACGACUUGUUACAGAAAAAAAGAGGCAACUCACAGGCAAGAAGACAAAGACAGAAAAAGUAUAUCAUCAUUAUUAGUACGAUUUUUCACACAAUGCAGAGUAAGCGAUUGGUAUUUCCUUGCUAAUUAGCAAGUUUACACUCAUUUCUUGUGACUGACUGUUGAUUGCCUCCAAAAAAGUCCAUGAAAAUUGUUGGAGAUAGAAGGUGUGAUCGUGCAUACGAAAAAAAAAGUUACGUUUCUUCAAUGAGAUAUGAAAGUGAAAGGAAGUCACAUUGAUUGGAGUGCCUUACUUUACUUGAUUCAGCAAGCAGCUCUAACAAACAUUUAGCAUUAAAAAUAAAUGAAUGACUCUGUCAUUGUUAAGGCAUUCAGUAAUAUUGUUGAUCCAAUUUGGCUGAGGAGUUUAUGAAAUGAUUAAUUUACUUAGAUAACACAAAAGAAUUUUGACCAGCAUUUUACAGUACUGUGCAAAACUGUGCAUGUAUUUAUAUCUUGCUAGGAAAAUGGGACAUAGGUGAAGUGAUUGAAAUGUUCACCCAUCAAUCCAUCCAUCCAGCCAUCCAUCCAUCCAUCCAUCAAUUUUCCACUAUUUGUCUGGGGCCAGGUCACAGCCCAGACCUCAGGCCAAGAGACCUAAUCUCCCCAGGGUGUACUGGGUCUACCCCAGAGCCUCGUCCUGGUAGGAUAUGCCACAAACAUGUCAUCCAUGAGGUUCCUAGAAGAUGCGUGAACCACCUCUGCUGGCUCUUUUUGAUGUGGAGGACUAGCAGUUCUACUCGGUUCUUCCCAAAUCACUGAACUGAAUCCAUCUCUAAUGCUCAAAUAAUAAUCUAAGGUCUAAUCAAAGGUCUUAAACCUGAAAACAAAACAAAUGGCACAAGGUCCACAUAAAGAACAAAAACAGAAUAGGAAUCUAGAUAACAAGCCAUAUGGAACAAGAAAAUACAUCUUGAAAUAGGACAAAGGGAAAGAUAGAAUGUCACACAAAUAUAUUACACAAGGACAACCCGAGAAAUAGAAAAUGCACUUUUAAAUGAUGGAUUUAUUUAUUAAUGAAAAAAGCUUAACAAACUUGUCUGGCCCAAUUCUGAAAAGUAAUUGACCCCUACACCUAAUAACUGGUUGUGCCUUGCUUGGCAACUAGAACUGAGAGCAAUUGUAUACGAUAACUGCUUAUGUGUCUUUCGCAUCACGCUGGAGGAAUUCUGGCCCACCCAUCUUUGCAGGAUUGUUUUCAUUCAGACACAUUGGAGGGUUUUUGAGCAUGAACAAGCAUGAAAGGUAUGAGAUCAGAAGAUCAGAUUUGGAUCUGGACCUUGACCAGGCCACUCCAAAACCUUUAUUUUGUGUUUCUCAAGCCAUGCAGAGGUGGACUUGCUGGUGUGUUUCGAAUCAUUGUUCUGUUGCAUGACUCAACUGUGAAAGAGCUUUAAGGCACCCGACAAUCAUGUUUCCAUCAAGUACUGCAAGCCAUCCAGGUCCUGAAGCAGCAAAGCAGUCGGGAUCUUUAUACUACUACCAUCAUGUUGACUGUUGAUAUAUUUUAUGUUUAUUAAAAACAAGAGGCUUAGUGGGAAUCAUAUUCAUAUAACAUGCAAACUCCACACAGAAAGACCCCAGCCUGAUGGUGGAAUUGAACUCAGGACCUUCUUGCUGUGAGGUGCUAACCACCAUGCCACCAUGCUGCCCUGUUUACCUUCUGUAUGAAUUUUAUACCUCAUAAGACAUUACACAUGUGACCCUCUUUUUUUCUCAUUUAGAAAUAUAUUUACUUGAUUCAUAUACAUAAUCCUGUAAACAUGAUUAGCUCAGCAGGUAUAAGCAUUAUGAUUCAUACAAUAUAUCUAAAACAAAUUAUUAUCUACAUUUUUUUUCUGUUCCUCUUCCAUAUGGAUUUCAUCUUGGUGGGACACAAAUAGCUGCUUGCAAGAAAUCAGAAGGGCAGUCUGGAAUAAUGUUAGAAUGGAGAUGGGGAAAAUAACUGAUUAGGCUGGACCGCACAGCAGGAAUAUGAUUAAAUUAUAAUCGGGGGAAUAGAGAAAUAAUUUAAUAGAUACUGCACUAAAAUUCCAACAUGUCUAAGGAUGAAUUAAUGUUGGAAAUAGGCCGGCAUACAUGUUUGCAGAUUAAAUAUUCUAUUUUUUGAAUGUUUAUUGUUACUGUCUGUUUUAGUGAUUGCGCCAGUGUCACUCUGUAGGAUAAACUAGACCCUCUUCUUGCCUGUUCUCUCGUGGAUCAUGUCAAAUUGCAGCCAUAAACAACCCAUUAAGUGACAUAUUUAUCUGGGCCAAUUCUUCUGGCUCCCUCACCCCAAUUACUUUGCUGGUGGAAUGUCUAUUUUGGACCGCUUCACAUUCUUUUACGCUCAAAUCAAUACUUCUGCAGAACCAGAAAGCUAUUCCAUGUGUUAGCACUCUCUCUCUCUCUCUCUGCAGUACUUCACAUGGUUUCCUAAAUAUGUUACAUAAGAUGAGUCCUUAGCAAGGGCGCAUGUAGCAGCACAUCUGCUAUUUUAAAAGGAGACGAAGAGGAAUUCAGUUUCCCUUUUUAAUCCUUUGUUUUUAAUGAAGAGGUUUGCUGCCAGAUGUAACAGAACCUUGCCUAUAACAGUAUGUCUUCAAUGUCAUAUGUCAUUAUCAUAAUCAUAAAAUGCACUUUUCUGAGUGCAGCCUUGAAGCUUGAAGAGUCCUGCAGCACGUCAGUUCCAUUUUCUUAUGAAGUUGUACCAGUGCAUUUUCUGCAAUUGAGCCGUCAGCGUCUGUCAGUCAGGGGAAAUUAACGAGUCUGCUGAUUGCACUGCUGGUAAUUACAGAGUGCAGCUGGCGCAGUGCUGUGUCAAGCCUGGGAGGUAUUUUAAGCUUACGUCUGUCCUUUCUCCCAACAGCCAGGUCAAGUAAUGCUCUACAGAGGAUCAGAGAGGGACUCUAAAAUGACCACUGAAAAUUCUGAAAGUGUUCAGAGACAAUAACCACAAAGUCAAAGGUUCAUUUGUUUAUCUGUGUCCUCUAGUAGGACACCGAACCUUUACUUGAUGGCCUGUACUUUUAAGAUCAAUUUUUAUAAUGAUGCAUGGCUAAUACUGGUGUGCAGUUUAUCGAUCCCUUAAGGUGCUGCUCUUUUUUCUUAUCUCUUCUUCUCAGAAUGUAUAACAGAUGAGUCAGUUGUCCCUAGUCCUGAAUGUCAUGCUCAGCAUGAGGAUAUUAGCAUGUGACCAACAGAAUUAAAGCAAAAAACAAAAAAGAAUAGACGAUCUAUUGAAUUUUGCCAGCUUUACAAAGUAUUUUCUUAAUAAUAUAUGAUGGUUUACAUUAUUCACAAAAGACAUUUGUGCACAGAUUAUACAUCAUAUUACAUAUUUUCGUUAUUACUGAAGGUAAUGUAGUAAUCAAAAGGUAGUAAUCAUUCUUUUAAUAAAUUCUAGGAUUUCUAAAAUGACUAGCUGAUGUGAUUAACUGAAAAAGGUUUAAAUGUUUGCACAGAAGUGAGUAAAGCUGUGUGUGGCGAAUGACAUUGCCACUGUGGCUUUGAACAAGGCUUUCUGCCACAGAAACUACCGAAGGGGACACUGUCCUCAGCAGGUCCAUUUAUUAGUCAACCCACAUGGAUUUUCCACAUCCCAGAUACACACUGGCCAAAAGCCUGUGAAGCUGUAAUUGCUGUCGUAGGGGUUUUAACAAAGUACUGACUGUAUCAUGUGCCCAUGGUGUUUGUUAGCAGGCAGCUAGAAUUGCAUUUACAAGUCAAAAAAAACUUCAAAUUUGUAUCAGUUUCUGUCGUUGGGGUAAGAAGCAUUUUUGUCCUGACAUGUAAAAGAAUGAAGUGGAUGAUCAGACAUGAGCA